UACGUAGGGUGCGAGCGUUAAUCGGAAUGACUGGGCGUAAAGGGUGCGCAGGCGGUUGGUCAAGACGGAUGUGAAAGCCCCGGGCUUAACCUGGGAGUGUCAUUCGUGACUGACGAACUAGAAUAUGGCAGAGGGAGGCGGAAUUCCACAUGUAGCAGUGAAAUGCGUAGAGAUGUGGAGGAACACCGGUGGCGAAGGCGGCAUCCUGGACCAACACUGACACUGAGGAGCGAAAGCCAGGGGAGCAAACGGG
Molecule: ribosomal RNA, 253 nt
Filed under: uncultured bacterium
Lineage: Bacteria
Description: partial 16S ribosomal RNA
Rfam family: Bacterial small subunit ribosomal RNA
Source: RNAcentral